Long non-coding RNA from Danaus plexippus (monarch butterfly), 921 nucleotides. RefSeq lists it as uncharacterized. The transcript is spliced from 2 exons. The record is from RefSeq and is a predicted model, not a curated record. NCBI's taxonomy places the organism in Eukaryota, Metazoa, Arthropoda, Insecta, Lepidoptera, Nymphalidae.
UUAAUAUCUUUAUAGUAACAUUGUUGUAAAUAAAACUAAACUGCUCAAAAGGACUGGUAUCCAGAGCCGUAAAAACAUUUACAAAAAAAAACUAAACUGUCAACAUUUUGAGACGUUUAUGACAGUUACUGUUUGUUACAGCAAUUUAUCAAUUCUUAGUUGUUAUAAUAAAAGUUAAAACACUUCUCAGGGCUUCGUCCUUUCCCUGACUGGCAAAAAAGGUCGUGGGAUGCUUAAAACUUAGGGUAAAAAGGUGAUAAGGUCUGUUGUGUUGUAGACCCCCCCUUACAAUUCAGUAAUACACAUUGGAGUUGUCAAAAUUAAAGACCGAAACAUAUUGAUUUAACCGUAAAAUCGUCCAACUUCUUCGAAUUUUCGCCGUGCUUUGUGACACUGGUGGAAUGUUACGUGGAUAUUUUAAUCCAGAUAAAAAUAAUAAUUAAAAAGUUGAAUAAAAUCUGUAAGAAUAAAUACGAAGAUUGUAUGUAAAUGAAAUUAGAAUUAUUGAUGCAUAAGUUAACAGCAAUCGUAUCACAUUGAUCUUAAAAAAAUAUAUAUUACAAGACCUCAGUGAAAUACAAGAGCGAAACUCGUAAGUGAUGGAUUCUCACAAAUAUACCAUACCCGUCCUACCGACCAUUCAAAACGUAUUGGAAGAUAUUUCAGUAUCAAAUGUAAAUUUGAAUGAAAAAUUAAAAAUUGCAAACAGCGAUGACAUACUACAUGACACCUAUAAAUGUUUUUUGAACUGCAAUCACCUACAAAAGGAUUUAAUAAGACAAAACAAAUUAAAUAACAAACUGGAACAUUUGAAUAAAGAACUUGUUAGGAACAUAGAAAAUAUGAAGAAUCAACAGUAGAGUUAUACAUUAUGGUAAUUAAAAUUAAAUUAAUGUUAUUGAAAUAAAUAGCUUUUUUAAU